GAUGAAGAACGUAGCGAACUGCGAUAAGUAAUGUGAAUUGCAGAAUUCAGUGAAUCAUCGAGUCUUUUAACGCACAUUGCGCCCCCUGGCAUUCCGGGGGGCAUGCCUGUCCGAGCGUCAUUGCUGCCCAUCAAGCCCGGCUUGUGUGUUGGGUCGUCGUCCCCCCCGGGGGACGGGCCCGAAAGGCAGCGGCGGCACCGUGUCCGGUCCUCGAGCGUAUGGGGCUUUGUCACCCGCUCGAUUAGGGCCGGCCGGGCGCCAGCCGACGUCUCCAACCAUUUUUUUCAGGUUGACCUCGGAUCAGGUAGGGAUACCCGCUGAACUUAAGCAUAUCAAUAAGCGGAGGA
RNAcentral lists this unclassified non-coding RNA (347 nucleotides) under soil metagenome. RNAcentral describes it as "partial contains 5.8S ribosomal RNA, internal transcribed spacer 2, and large subunit ribosomal RNA". The stretch from base 1 to 120 matches the Rfam family "5.8S ribosomal RNA", at positions 35 to 154 of the family's 154-position model. The record is from RNAcentral.